This 532-nucleotide ribosomal RNA is filed under the name bacterium Kaz1. RNAcentral describes it as "bacterial SSU rRNA". It matches the Rfam family "Bacterial small subunit ribosomal RNA", at positions 355 to 896 of the family's 1533-position model. The record is from RNAcentral.
UGGAGAAUCUUGCACAAUGGGCGAAAGCCUGAUGCAGCCACGCCGCGUGCGGGAAGAAGGCCUUCGGGUCGUAAACCGCUUUCAGGGGGGAAGAAGCGAUAUGUGACGGUACCUCCAGAAGAAGGACCGGCCAACUACGUGCCAGCAGCCGCGGUAAUACGUAGGGUCCGAGCGUUGUCCGGAAUCAUUGGGCGUAAAGCGCAUGUAGGCGGUCGCGUAAGUCGGAUGUGAAAUCCCGAGGCUUAACUUCGGAACUGCAUCCGGUACUGCGUGGCUUGAGGAAGGUAGAGGAGAGUGGAAUUCCCGGUGUAGCGGUGGAAUGCGCAGAUAUCGGGAGGAACACCAGCGGCGAAGGCGGCUCUCUGGGCCUUUCCUGACGCUGAGAUGCGAAAGCGUGGGUAGCGAACAGGAUUAGAUACCCUGGUAGUCCACGCCGUAAACGAUGGGUGCUAGGUGUGGGGAAUGGUUCACGUUUUCCGUGCCGAAGCUAACGCGUUAAGCACCCCGCCUGGGGACUACGGCCGCAAGGCUA